RNAcentral lists this long non-coding RNA (1210 nucleotides) under Helianthus annuus (common sunflower). RNAcentral's name for it is "hypothetical non coding rna". The record is from RNAcentral. Lineage: Eukaryota; Viridiplantae; Streptophyta; Magnoliopsida; Asterales; Asteraceae.
AUGGGUUUUCUUUGUUUUCAGUUUUCUACCUUAAAAGGUAAAUUAGUUUUUGAGUUUCUGUAUUUUAUGGGUUUUAAUCAUGUGAGUUCAAAAUCAAAAUGUUUAACGCCGUGAGUCAUUAUAGCCACUUUUCUUAACCAUUUGAGUCCAAAUUUCUAACACUGUUAGAAUUUUUUGGUUAAGUAUUGUUAAAUGACCAAAAUACCCUUAUAGUUAAAAAAUUAAAAAAAUAUUGUUAUUAGAUUUUUUUUCUCUCUCUUGUAUAUCUCUCUCCCUCUUAUCUUUUUCUCUCUAUCUAAACAUUCUGCACCUUCAUCUCUCUCUCAUCUUUCUUUCUUUCUCUAGACCACCUGCAACCCCCACCACCACACCACCACCGUCACCACCACAGCCACAACCACCUCCAUAACCAACCACCACCACCACAACAACCACAAACCUCCAGCACAGUCACCACUGUCACCGACGCACCACCACCACAUCACCAUCACCAUCACCAACACCAACACCUACAUCGCACCACCACCAUCAACACAUCAUCAUCAUCGCCUCCAUACCCAACACAAACCCUUGUUCUCUUCAUUCAAAAAUUGCAAUCAAACACACACCACACACAGUAUCAAUCAUCAUCUGUAUUUGACCUAAUUCACCAGAUUCAAAACUUUUCGAUCUCAAAUCACCGUUUAGCCUGUUAUUAUACCGUUAAUCUGUUCAAUCGCAGGUAAAAAGUUCAUCAAUUGCUUUUCUAUUUGAUGUUGCUUUUAGUUUAGAUUUUGAUCUUGUUCUUUUGAGAAAAGUAGCUUUUUGCAAAUUCAAAUCGUAUUACAAAGAUUGUACCCAUUUGGUCUCUACUCCAAUACUUAACAUAUGCUUCAAGCCCCAACAAGCCUUGUGAAGAAACGGUCACCGGAAAUCUCCCUUUUGAAUUCCAUCGGUUACCACUCUUCUACAAAAGUCAAGUUUACCCACAGCCUGCCUAGAUGAAGAAACGACGAUUGGGGGUUCAAAUCGGAUAUAUAUUCUGGAUUCUUUCUUUUCUUCCAAUCGAUUAUGUUUGAUUCGUACAUUUGUUCUUUGUCCAGUAGAUCAUGCCGAUAUGUUUUGUUAUUUUUAGAGCCUUUUUUUUCCUUUUCGAUUACACAUGAUGUCACUCAAAAAGAAUUCUGGUUUUGAAUUGCCCGUUAAAAAAUAAUCACUUGCUAUUAUGUUU